UGUGUGCUGGACACUGGUACAGAAGCCGCCUCUGCUUGCAGACACACCAUGGGUGUGUGCAGCAUCCAGAGCAGCCCUCAUCGGGAGCACAUCCUGGCCACGGGAAGGUGAGUCCCCAGGAGGCUCUCGGGCCCUUCUCGUCUCUUUCGCUGCCUUUCCUCCUGGGAAGGUGAGUCCCGGGGGGGCUCCUGGGCCAUUCUUCCCUCUUUCGCUGCCUCUCCUCCUGGCACCAUUGCAGCAUUUCGUCUGCCAGUGCUUCGCCGGAGUGUAGGUAUAUGGGUUUGGGAAAGGGGACUUUGUCCUCGAGGGAUGCAUGGGACAGGUCUCUGGGAGACGUUCUGUGCCCCCCAGGGGCCUUGUGGAACAGGUGAGCCUGGGCUUUCCUUACAUGCCUCCUGUGGUUGGUCGGUUUCAGCUAUGAUGAACACAUCCUACUGUGGGACACACGAAACAUGAAGCAGCCGUUGGCAGACACGCCCGUGCAGGGUGGGGUAUGGAGAAUCAAGUGGCACCCUUUCCACCACCACCUGCUCCUGGCCGCCUGCAUGCACAGUGGCUUUAAGAUCCUCAACUGCCAAAAGGCAAUGG
RNAcentral lists this small RNA (588 nucleotides) under Pan troglodytes (chimpanzee). Its description in RNAcentral is "processed transcript". The record is from RNAcentral. Lineage: Eukaryota; Metazoa; Chordata; Mammalia; Primates; Hominidae.